UGCAAAGGGCCCUUUCAUCUUGAAGU
Molecule: non-coding RNA, 26 nt
Filed under: Homo sapiens (human)
Lineage: Eukaryota; Metazoa; Chordata; Mammalia; Primates; Hominidae
Source: RNAcentral